UUUAUACAAAAUAUCAAUUUACAACUCAAUAAUGUCGAUAAUCAUAAUAUAUUUGAUAGUUGAGUGAUAAAAAAAACUAAACAUAGACUCCGGUUUCAGUGGCGAUGGUGUGCUUUGUUCCGAUGGGGAUCGGAACACAAAGAAAGUUAGAUUCAAGGAAGGGGUGGAAGAGGAGACUGCUGUGAUGGCUGUAGAUCCAGAUCUGUCUCCAAAACUGUCGUGGAAGGAUAUGCUUUUGGGGGGAGAAGCUUCUCCCUCUGUAUCAGAUCGAAAUGGCUCCUCUGAGGGACGUGAAAACGAUUUUGAAUUACUGGAAGGGGACGUGAGUACGGCCAUGGUAGACGGGAUGCCUACUAUUGCUUUUUCGGAACGUAUUAAAAUUAUUCUUUUCAAAGAAAUGGAUUUAACGAUUGUUCUCAAGCUUUUAGGGCGUAAUAUCGGAUACAACUCUCUCCUCAACCGUAUCCUAGUCUUUGGAAACCUGCUAAUUCUUUUCAUCUUAAGUUUCAGGAUAUCGGCGAUUACAACAAAGUCUUAACCCAAGGCCCUUGGAUUAUCUACGGGCAAUAUCUUACCGUCCAACCGUGGACUAGGGAAUUUUAUCCAUUGCAGCCAUAUCCCAGUGUGGUGUUGGCUUGGAUCCGAUUGCCGGGGCUUCCGAGGUGAUGGUGGACAAUACCGUUCAACAACUUGAGUAUGAGGCUCUCCUGACGGUGUGUUUCUCAUGUGGCAAAUAUGACCAUGUUAAAGAGUUUUGUCCGACGGUUGUGGUAGAUCAAACCCGGGGGCAAUCUGCAAAUGUGGUGGUUGAGGCACAAGGAGACGUUGGCGGCAGAACCGAUGGUGAUAAGAGGCCAGAGUUUGGGCAGUGGAAAUGAUUCUUUUGGAUCUAGAUUUUCGGUGCUUAAUCAGGUUGGGGAUUUGGGGAGUGAUUUGAAGGUAUCUAAUGGAGAUUUUUCGCGGGAGAAAGUUAGGGAGAGAGGGGCUGUCGGUGAUGGGGGUCUUAAGAUUAGGGCUAAUAUAGGUGUUAAAAGGAAUUCUGGGCCUAAAUUUGAAGCAGGCCGUGGGAGUGCUACGGGCCAUGGAGCCCUUUUAGGGCCUGCUAAGAAUGUUUCUUUGUUAAAGAUUUGGGCCAGAAAUCUAAUUCUAGUUUGGAUAAAUUUUUGGGCAAAAGUCCUAUGGAAUUGGCGAAAAAUGGUAAGAGUAAUGAGGGCCCAGUUUUUAAAUCAAAUUCUAAUAUUUCUUUUUCUUGCGCACAUGUAGGUAGUGAGCAGGAAACUUCUAAAAUUACUGGAAUGGGCGUUGAAGGUGAUCAGCAAAAUUCUUUAAAUUUUGGUGCUUCCAAAAAUAUUAUUUCUGGUAAUUCAGAAAGGGUUAAGGCUCAUUUUAAUCCAGCUUUCGAAGUGUCCGAAUGAGUUGAAAUCCAAAUUUUCGAAAGUGUUCUAGAUCCCCGAAAAACAUUUUGCCGUGUCUUUUAAGAAAAAAUAUUAUUUCUGAUCAACAAGUUAAAUCUGGGAAUCGGUCAGUGGAGAAGCCGGGUUUGGUUUUAGUUUCAAGUUCGGGUGCGGACAAAUCCGGUUUUACAGAUAGAAAGGGUGGCAUAAGAAUUAACAAAAACCGUGUAGCCAUAAGAAUUCAAAUGCUUUUUGGGGACGAGGGAGUCGUUUUAAAUCUUCUGGUAGGGCACGGAUUCCUUUAACAGAGUCCAUGGAGGUGAUGGCGAAACUCCUUUCUACUCAAAAUCCCAAUCAAAAUGUUAAUGGUGAUUCGGGAGCCGUAGGUUUAACCAUUCAUGGGGAUUUAGUCCAUCAGCAGUAAUGGUAUGAUUCCUAAGCCUUUCGUUUUAUUAUUAUGAAUUUUACAAUUUUUUCUUGGAAUUGCUAGGGUUGUGCCAGUGUUAAUUUCCCUUGUUUGUUUGUUUGAGACAAGAGUCAGUGGAGCUAAAGCUGAUAGCAUUGUUGCAAAGUUAGGUUUCCAGUUCUCUCAUUGAGUAGAGGCAAUUGGUUACUUGGAGGUAUCUGGCUUAGUUGGAAAGAUUUCAUCCGUGUCGAGGUGGUUCGUAGUCAUCCUCAAUUUAUUUUGACUAAAGUUUGGCAAAUGUCCUCUACACGUUCGUUCUUUAUUUCUUUUGUCUAGCCAACUCCAAUCGGCAAAAACUUAAAAAUCUUUAGGAUGUCAUAAGGUCUUCGAUUUCGUCAGGUCAUAUUCCAUAGAUUGCUAUUGGUGACUUCAACGCAAUCCUUUAUUCUUCUAAAAAUUUUGGUGGUCUUACUAAUAGAAAGAGAUGUCCCCAGUUUGGAGAAUUUGUGGAGAAAGCCGAGCUGCAUGAUUUGGGUUUUAUAGGGCCUCCUUUUACUUGGAAUCGGGGUGCACUUUUUGAAAUGUUAGAUCGUGCGUUGGGUAAUAAAGCAUGAAUUCGUAAUUUCCCUAAUAGUUUGGUUACUCACUUACCUAAUAUCAAGUCUGACCACCGUCCUCUUCUUUUGAAUCAAAAUCCGAAUGUUAUUUUACCCAGAGGGAGACCCUUUCGAUUUUUGGAAGGUUGGACUGAACAUCUUGAUUUUGAUGAUUUUAUGAAUGACAAUUGGGUUGUCGCUGGAGACAUGGCUGAUUUCUUAUCCAAGCUUACUCUUAAUUUAAAAGAGUGUAAUAAACAGGUCUACGGGCAUAUCACUACCAAAAAGAGACACAUUGUUCUUAAAAUUGCUAAUGUUUAGAGAAUGAUGGAUCUUUCUGGUUCGAAUUGGUUAGCUCAGGUGGAUUUGAAUCUUAGACAGGAGCUUGAGAAUGUUUUACACCAUGAAGAACUCCUUUAAAAGCAAAAAGAGAGAUGUGAUUGGCUGUAUUUGUGAUUGGCUGUAUUUGGGUGAUCGUAACACAAAGUUCUUCCAUUCUUGAACUUUGCAAAGAAGGAAAAGCAACCGCAUAACUUCUAUUCAGAAUGACGAUGGGGAUUGAAUCUUUGACCUGGAGGCUAUUGAGGCUGAGGCGAAUACUUUUUCCCAAAAGCUCUAUGGGGAAUGUCUUGGUGAUAUUGGUGUUUUUCCUCCUAGUAAGUUUCCUCAGCUAAAGCGUGGUGAUAUUAAUUUUUUAAGGAAGUCGAUCACUAAUGAUGAAAUUAAGGAUGCCCUUUUUGAUAUGGCUCCUCUAAAAGCUUCGAAAAAGUAACGGGUUUCAUGCCCACUUUUUUCAGAAUCAGUGGAGUAAAAUUGGGCGGCAGUUUGUGAUUGGGUCAAAAAGGUGUUUAAUGGAGGUUUUAUUGAGGCUGAUUUGAAUAACACCCUGAUUGUUCUAAUUCCUAAUGUGGCGAAUCUAGACGGCUUUAGAUAGUUUUGUCCAAUAAGCCUCUAUUCUGUCAUUUAUAAACUGGUAAUGAAAGUACUUGCUAAUUGUUUUAAGCAUGUCUUCCCAAAAAUUAUUGCGCAGGAACCUAUUAUUAUUGCGCAGGAACAUAUUGGCUUUAUUGCAGACAGGAAUAUAACCGAUAACAUUAUCAUCGCUCAAGUGGUAAUUCAUUCCAUGAGACGUCAGAAAAAAAAGAAAAUGGAUGACGAUUAAAAUUGCUCUGGAGAAAGCCUAUGAUAGAGUAGAUAACUUUACUGAGAUACUCAAGAAUACCUGUUGCUUAGAGAGAGACAUGAAUAAAAUCUAUCUACUCUCUAAGCAACAGGUAUUCUUGAGUAUCUCAGUAAAGUUAUUAUAUCCUCUAUUUCAAAUUCUACUAUGCAGGUUAUGUAGAAUGGUGUUCUUUUGUCUAAAUUUAGACCUGCCAGAGGCAUCAGACAAGGGUGCUCGCUCUCUUCCUAUCUUUUUAUGCUUUGCAUGGAAUGGCUUGGUCAUUUGAUUCAUUCAACUAUUUCAGUGGAAAAGUGGAACCCAAUACAUAUGGGUCGCCUAUCUCACAUUUGUUCUUUACAGAUGACCUAGUUAUUUUCAGCAAAGCGGACUUGGUGCAUUGUAGGAUCAUAAAGGAUCAUAAAAGAUAUUCUGGAUUUGUUCUGUGGUUUUUGUGGGCAUCUUAUUAAUGCAAGGAAUAUUCUGGAUCGGUUCUGUGGUUUCUGUGGGCAUCUUAUUAAUGCAAGGAAGACCAACAUUUUUCUCUCUAAAGGGGUGGAUAUUUCUUUAACUAAUAUGAUCAGUUCUAUAUUUGGCUUUCAAAAAGUUCACGAUCUUGGGAUUUACCUUGGGGUUCCUCUUUUCCAUCAAAGGUUGACAAAUAGCACUAUAAAUUUUGUGGUUGAAAAGGCUUGGGGAAGCUACACAGUUGGGACUCCAAAAAAGUCUCCAUUGCUAGUCGUAUUUAUCUAGUUGGUUAUUUUAUCCAUCCCUAGCUAUUUUAUAUAAUCAAUGAUGAUUCUUAGGAAAAUUAGUGAUGAGAUUGAAAGUCUGGUGAAGCAGUUUAUUUGGGGAUCUUCGGACAACAGAAAGAAGAUGUUGCUUGUGGGGUGGAAUUCAUUUUGUCAACCAAAGUGGUGUGGUGGUCUAGGGUGGAAAAGACUUCAUGAUCAAAACAUAUCCUUUCUUUUGAAGCUAGGUAUCAAAACAUAUCCUUUCUUUUGAAGCUGGGUUUCAACAUUGUUUCUAACAAGGAUGUAGGAUUUGUCGGAUUGUAUUGCUCAGGACAUAAGUUUCUUUUUCUAAAGUUUGGCCGUUACUUCAUGAAAAUCUUUUAUGGCCCGUUGGAGAUGGAAAUAAAAUUUGAUGCUGGAGGGAUAAUUAGAUCCCAAGUGUAGGGCCUUUGUAUCAACAUAUUCCGAAUAAUGAUAACCAAGAUUCAGAUUGCUUCCUUAAUGAGAUGAUCACUGAGGACGAUUCGUGGAACCUUGAUCUUUUUUAGGUUUGGCUUUCGGAUAGUGUGAUUCAGCUUAUUAAGGGUAUUCUUCCUCCUCAUCCAUCUACUGGCUUUGAUAAAAUUUCUAUGAGCCACACUUUGGCUAGAGUUUUUCAGUCAAAACAACUUACAAGAUGUUAAAGGAUGGAAGAGCGUUUGGAAGUUUCCAGGUCUUCAACGGGUUCGAUUUUUUCAUUUGGACUGCUCUACAAGGAAGGCUCCUUAGUAAUGUGGAAUGGGUUAGAAGGGGUUUAGCAAUUGACCCUUCUUGCCCCACCUGUGGUUUCCAUUCAGAGGAUAUUUUACAUAUUUUGAGAGAUUGCGCUGUUUAUCAAAUUUAUUCUCUAAUAAUUCAUAAGAUUGGGCGAAUCAGCUCUUUUAAGCUCUUAGAGCAGAUUUUAAAGGCAGCUUUAAACCUCCCGUUGAAGAGGAAUCUUUUGAAGAUCUGAUUUUUCUUAUCAUUAAUGGCGUAGUGCAAUUAGAAUCUGGAAAUACAGCCACCGAAGGAAUUGUUCGUGAUGCUAAGUGAGAUUGGAUCUGGAGUCUAAAGUAGUGGUUUUUACGCCUUGAUUGGAACAUAUAUUUUACAAGUGUUUGAUGCUUCUCAUCCGAUGACGAGCACUUUAAUGGAAUUGGACAAGAAUAAGAAUGUUUUUCCUUUUCAAAAUACCUAUUAUUUAAUUAGUUUGGUAUUUCUUAUUUUCACCAAAAAAAUGUGUUAUUUACUUUUUUUGUUAAAUGGUUUAUGUAUUUAUUUUAA
Gossypium raimondii (Peruvian cotton) is the source of this 5591-nucleotide long non-coding RNA. RefSeq lists it as uncharacterized. The transcript has 2 exons. The record is from RefSeq and is a predicted model, not a curated record. NCBI's taxonomy places the organism in Eukaryota, Viridiplantae, Streptophyta, Magnoliopsida, Malvales, Malvaceae.